RNAcentral lists this ribosomal RNA (515 nucleotides) under uncultured bacterium. RNAcentral describes it as "bacterial SSU rRNA". It matches the Rfam family "Bacterial small subunit ribosomal RNA", at positions 28 to 526 of the family's 1533-position model. The record is from RNAcentral.
GACGAACGCUGGCGGCGUGCCUAAUACAUGCAAGUCGAGCGAAUUUAUGGGAGCUUGCUCCCGUAAAUUAGCGGCGGACGGGUGAGUAACACGUGGGCAACCUGCCUAUAAGACUGGGAUAACUUCGGGAAACCGGAGCUAAUACCGGAUAAUUCCUUUCCUCACAUGAGGAAAGGCUGAAAGACGGUUUACGCUGUCACUUAUAGAUGGGCCCGCGGCGCAUUAGCUAGUUGGUGAGGUAACGGCUCACCAAGGCAACGAUGCGUAGCCGACCUGAGAGGGUGAUCGGCCACACUGGGACUGAGACACGGCCCAGACUCCUACGGGAGGCAGCAGUAGGGAAUCUUCCGCAAUGGACGAAAGUCUGACGGAGCAACGCCGCGUGAGUGAUGAAGGUUUUCGGAUCGUAAAACUCUGUUGUUAGGGAAGAACAAGUACCGGAGUAACUGCCGGUACCUUGACGGUACCUAACCAGAAAGCCACGGCUAACUACGUGCCAGCAGCCGCGGUAAAAC